This 917-nucleotide long non-coding RNA is filed under the name Chinchilla lanigera (long-tailed chinchilla). Its description in RNAcentral is "lncRNA (ENSCLAG00000022842.1)". Lineage: Eukaryota; Metazoa; Chordata; Mammalia; Rodentia; Chinchillidae. The record is from RNAcentral.
AUGGAAUCAAGAUCCCUUCCAGGAAAGAGGCGUUCUGUCCUCAGCAGGAGAAAGAUCAGGUGGGGGCGGGCACCUGGGGCCACUGUAGGGAGGUCCCAGGGUGGGGAGCCUCCCCUAGCUUUCUCACUGCCAGGGUCUCGUAGGAGACUCGGCGCCGCCGGCUCGCCCAGCCCCCACUCCACCUGGCCCGGGCACCAGCCCGUUGCAUCAGCGGCUCCUGCCGCUUCCGCCCGCGCCCUACCAGCCACGCCGGGCCAGGAGGGGGUUGGAAACAGAAACUUUACUUCCACCCCUCCCAGCUCCCUCCCAUCUAGGCCUAACGAGCCCGGGACGGCCCUCGACGCCCCGAUCCCGGGGGAGCGACGCGGGUCCCGCGCAGGCCGGCAGGAGUGCCAGCGAUCAGCACAUCUUUGCGAGUGUCUGGCAAGUGCCCACAUCCUUGCGUUUGCUGCUGCCAGCCCUGCACAUGGACAGCUGCCCUGCCCACUGUCUGUCACCUUCAGCCCAUCUCUCCAAUUUCUCCUCCGUUUGGUCUGUCCUCACCCCUCCGCUAAAGAGUUCACUAGCCUGCAGUGCUGUGAUCUUCCUGAGACAGGAGAUCAGGGUGCAGCAAAGCUGGCUGGAGAGGCAGGUGUGACCUGGUAAUUACAAAAUCCCAGGACAUGGGACACUUCCCUAAACCCGCUUGGACUUCUCUCAAGAACUCGAGCUGGUUUUCUAUACCAUAACCUUGACCUGACUCCAGCCUGAAGAGUGACACAAAAAGGACAGUACACACCAAUUUUUGCCACUAGGUCACUCUGGCAUGGUGGCUACCCUCAUGCUGUAGGGUAUACUUUUUUCCCACUUUUACUUGGCCCAAACUUGCUGUGGAGAACCUGUUUCUUUUCCUACCUUUAAUAAAACAUGGCUACUAU